RNAcentral lists this ribosomal RNA (492 nucleotides) under Agaricales sp. Its description in RNAcentral is "SSU rRNA". It matches the Rfam family "Eukaryotic small subunit ribosomal RNA", at positions 84 to 576 of the family's 1831-position model. The record is from RNAcentral. Lineage: Eukaryota; Fungi; Basidiomycota; Agaricomycetes; Agaricales.
AAACUGCGAAUGGCUCAUUAAAUCAGUUAUAGUUUAUUUGAUGAUACCUUGCUACAUGGAUAACUGUGGUAAUUCUAGAGCUAAUACAUGCAUUAAAGCCCUGACUUCUGGAAGGGGUGUAUUUAUUAGAUAAAAAACCAACGCGGCUCGCCGCUCCCUUGGUGAUUCAUAAUAACUUCUCGAAUCGUAUAGCCUUGUGCUGACGAUGCUUCAUUCAAAUAUCUGCCCUAUCAACUUUCGAUGGUAGGAUAGUGGCCUACCAUGGUUUCAACGGGUAACGGGGAAUAAGGGUUCGAUUCCGGAGAGGGAGCCUGAGAAACGGCUACCACAUCCAAGGAAGGCAGCAGGCGCGCAAAUUACCCAAUCCCGACACGGGGAGGUAGUGACAAUAAAUAACAAUAUAGGGCUCUUUCGGGUCUUAUAAUUGGAAUGAGUACAAUUUAAAUGCCUUAACGAGGAACAAUUGGAGGGCAAGUCUGGUGCCAGCAGCCA